GGAUGAACGCUAGCGGCAGGCCUAACACAUGCAAGUCGAGGGGUAGAAAUAGCUUGCUAUUUUGAGACCGGCGCACGGGUGCGUAACGCGUAUGCAAUCUACCUUUUACUAAGGGAUAGCCCGGAGAAAUCCGGAUUAAUACCUUAUAGUUUAUUUGGUUGGCAUCAAUCGGAUAAUAAAGAUUUAUUGGUAAAAGAUGAGCAUGCGUCCCAUUAGUUAGUUGGUGUGGUAACGGCAUACCAAGACGAUGAUGGGUAGGGGUCCUGAGAGGGAGAUCCCCCACACUGGUACUGAGACACGGACCAGACUCCUACGGGAGGCAGCAGUGAGGAAUAUUGGUCAAUGGACGCAAGUCUGAACCAGCCAUGCCGCGUGCAGGACGACGGUCCUAUGGAUUGUAAACUGCUUUUAUACGGGAAGAAACACCUCUACGAGUAGAGACUUGACGGUACCGUAAGAAUAAGGAUCGGCUAACUCCGUGCCAGCAGCCGCGGUAAUACGGAGGAUUCGAGCGUUAUCCGGAAUCAUUGGGUUUAAAGGGUUCGUAGGCGGCCUUAUAAGUCAGCGGUGAAAGUUUUUGGCUUAACCAAAAAAAUUGCCGUUGAUACUGUAGGGCUUGAAUAAUUUUGAAGUAACUAGAAUAUGUAGUGUAGCGGUGAAAUGCAUAGAUAUUACAUGGAAUACCAAUUGCGAAGGCAGGUUACUAAGAAUAUAUUGACGCUGAUGGACGAAAGCGUGGGUAGCGAACAGGAUUAGAUACCCUGGUAGUCCACGCCGUAAACGAUGGAUACUAGCUGUUUGGAUUUGGGUUCUGAGUGGCUAAGCGAAAGUGAUAAGUAUCCCACCUGGGGAGUACGUUCGCAAGAAUGAAACUCAAAGGAAUUGACGGGGGCCCGCACAAGCGGUGGAGCAUGUGGUUUAAUUCGAUGAUACGCGAGGAACCUUACCAGGGCUUAAAUGUGUUUUGACGUUAUUGGAAACAGUAAUUUCUUCGGACAAAAUACAAGGUGCUGCAUGGUUGUCGUCAGCUCGUGCCGUGAGGUGUCAGGUUAAGUCCUAUAACGAGCGCAACCCCUGUUGUUAGUUGCCAGCGAGUAAUGUCGGGAACUCUAGCAAGACUGCCGGUGUAAACCGCGAGGAAGGUGGGGAUGACGUCAAAUCAUCACGGCCCUUACGUCCUGGGCCACACACGUGCUACAAUGGCCGGUACAGAGAGCAGCCACUUGGCGACAAGGAGCGAAUCUACAAAACCGGUCACAGUUCGGAUCGGAGUCUGCAACUCGACUCCGUGAAGCUGGAAUCGCUAGUAAUCGGAUAUCAGCCAUGAUCCGGUGAAUACGUUCCCGGGCCUUGUACUCACCGC
This 1363-nucleotide ribosomal RNA is filed under the name uncultured bacterium. RNAcentral's name for it is "bacterial SSU rRNA". It matches the Rfam family "Bacterial small subunit ribosomal RNA", at positions 27 to 1393 of the family's 1533-position model. The record is from RNAcentral.